This is a long non-coding RNA of Gordionus sp. m RMFG-2023, 635 nucleotides long. RefSeq lists it as uncharacterized. The record is from RefSeq and is a predicted model, not a curated record. The transcript has 5 exons. NCBI's taxonomy places the organism in Eukaryota, Metazoa, Nematomorpha, Gordioida, Chordodea, Parachordodidae.
GUUUGUAAUCUAAUAUAUUAUGACUCCCCCCACCCCCCUCCUAUAUUACUAUAAAGUAUUUAUUACCUUUUAAGAAAAAUCGAUCCGGGAGAAAUGCAAAACCGAUGCCGAAUGUCUAAAUGAAAACUGUGUUUAUAAACUUUGCGAUUGUUCUAAGGGUUUUAAAUGGUUUGAAGGAGAAUGCAUUAACGCUCGAUAUUUGGGUCCAAUAUGUACGCGCGACUAUCAAUGUCAAGAAGCAUUUCCUAAUUCUGAGUGCACUAGGGGGGAAUGCGUAUGUUUGCCUAAAUUUUAUCAGAACGUUAAAAUCGCCAAGUGUGAGCCAAAGAAAAAUUUGUCUGGCACAUGUUUGGAAGAUUACGAAUGCCUAAGUGACAAAUGUGUGACCGGAGAAUGUCGUUGCAAUUUCAAUUAUUUUAAAAAUGGAGAUUUCUGUUAUAAAGGAAAAAUAAUAGGAGAGAAAUGCGAAAGUACCCUCGAAUGUACCACCAUGUUAGACCAUGCCGUCUGCCAUGAAAGGGUGUGCAGAUGUGAUGAUAAUUUUUCUUCAUCCGAAUCAAAAACCCACUGCGUUCCAGAAAAGAACAUGUACGAUUGCGUAUACGAAGGAAGAAUUUGGAGAAGGGAAAUAGAAA